Molecule: ribosomal RNA, 253 nt
Filed under: uncultured bacterium
Lineage: Bacteria
Description: partial 16S ribosomal RNA
Rfam family: Bacterial small subunit ribosomal RNA
Source: RNAcentral
UACAGAGGGUGCAACCGUUGCUCGGAAUCAUUGGGCGUAAAGCGCACGUAGGCGGCCCAGCAAGUGGGGAGUGAAAGCCCUCGGCUUAACCGAGGAAGUGCUUUCCAAACUACUGGGCUUGAAUACUGGAGAGGGUCGCGGAAUUCCCGGUGUAGAGGUGAAAUUCGUAGAUAUCUGGAGGAACACCGGUGGCGAAGGCGGCAUCCUGGACCGGUAUUGACGCUGAGGCGCGAAGGCUAGGGGAGCAAACGGG